GACGAACCGUGCGAACGUUGUUCGGAAUCACUGGGCUUAAAGGGCGCGUAGGCGGGUAGCCAAGUCUGGGGUGAAAUCUUUCGGCUUAACCGGAAAAUAGCCUUGGAUACUGGCUGUCUCGAGUGAGGUAGGGGGAUGUGGAACUUCCGGUGGAGCGGUGAAAUGCGUUGAUAUCGGAAGGAACGCCGAUGGCGAAGGCGACGUGCUGGACCUCUUCUGACGCUGAUGCGCGAAAGCUUGGGGAGCAAACGGG
Molecule: ribosomal RNA, 253 nt
Filed under: uncultured bacterium
Lineage: Bacteria
Description: partial 16S ribosomal RNA
Rfam family: Bacterial small subunit ribosomal RNA
Source: RNAcentral